Pogona vitticeps (central bearded dragon) is the source of this 1136-nucleotide non-coding RNA. NCBI's taxonomy places the organism in Eukaryota, Metazoa, Chordata, Lepidosauria, Squamata, Agamidae. The record is from RefSeq and is a predicted model, not a curated record.
UUGAGAUGUUCCUCCUUGCCCAUUUAUCCCCAUGCCUGUUGUUUUUUUCUGCUGAUGUCAUAAUCUGCAAAUUUGCAGGCCAAUGUUCAUCCUUUCAGCUGGAGAAGUGGGGGCCACUUGCAUUGAUAUACUCCCUGUCACAGGCCACAUUAAGGCCACCCCCGCUUUGGAAGAUGAAAUUCAGGCUCUGUUAGGAAAAGAUGUGAUUGUUCCCUUGUACCAUCCCCAAAAAUGAUGCUGGCAUCCGGUCAGACCAUCGAUGCUUUCUCGGGUUUUCAGUAGGAGGAAUCUCUGUUUACCCAUAUUUGGAUAGCUGGAUAACCUGGUUGCUGAGUCCAAAUCACAAGCUUCUAAAUACACGGUAGCUCUUAUUCCAAGUACUAACCAGGUCUUCUUCAGAACAGGCAAUGUCUCUUUUCACUUCUUAAGGCUGGAGUAGCUUCCUUCUCACAAGUUCAAAAGAGACCCUCUUCUUCCUCCAUUCAGCUGUUCGUCAUUGGAACAAUCUGUAAACCAGAUGAAUUAGAAUUGCCUCAACAACUCUCAGAGCCUCCGGAAGAGAUGGUGAUGAAGGAGGAAAACAUCUGGAUGUCACUAAGUGAGAACAGUUGCUGUGUGUUUACCUUAGUAGAAGAAUACAGAUGUUGUCUCUUGUGUCUUCCCUUUUGUUUUUGAUGGGAGAUCUUACUCAUCCUGCACCAAAGAUGGAGCUAUUGAUGAGCAAUUAUGGUGUGGUACAACUUCUAACUAUGAUGACGAUGGCCAAUGGAAGCACUGUUCUCUUCAGGAGCAUGGGGGCAGUUCUGGAGGUCAGCCUUGCAUUUUCCCCUUUGUUUACAAGAACCAGACAUACUACACCUGCACAGAAGAGGAGAAAAGAGGAUUUUGGUGUGCUACCACAAGAAAUUAUGACCGGGAUCGUAAAUGGAGCUACUGUGCUGACAUCAGUAAGAGAAAUGAUGGCAGACAAUGACUGCCAUAAUUAUGAGUACUCGUGAAAAUAAAGAUCUUUAAGAUUUGAGUUACUUUGAGUUACAGUACUUUGGCCAUUGGAAAGCUAUUUCUAAAAAGAAUUGAUGUGACACUAGCGAAUGAAUAUUGAGAGUAAGGAGAGCACAGAGAAAGGAGAGAAAAGG